UACGGAGGGUGCAAGCGUUAAUCGGAAUUACUGGGCGUAAAGGGCGCGUAGGUGGUUAUGUAAGUCAGAUGUGAAAUACUUCAGCUCAACUGAAGAACUGCAUCUGAAACUGCAUAACUAGAGUACAGGAGAGGGAAACGGAAUUCCCGGUGUAGCGGUGAAAUGCGUAGAUAUAUGGAAGAACACCAGUGGCGAAGGCGGCUUACUGGACUGCAACUGACGUUGAGGCUCGAAAGUGUGGGUAGCAAACAGG
This 253-nucleotide ribosomal RNA is filed under the name uncultured microorganism. RNAcentral describes it as "partial 16S ribosomal RNA". It matches the Rfam family "Bacterial small subunit ribosomal RNA", at positions 524 to 776 of the family's 1533-position model. The record is from RNAcentral.